This is a long non-coding RNA of Gigantopelta aegis, 1315 nucleotides long. RefSeq lists it as uncharacterized. The transcript is spliced from 5 exons. Lineage: Eukaryota; Metazoa; Mollusca; Gastropoda; Neomphalida; Peltospiridae. The record is from RefSeq and is a predicted model, not a curated record.
AAUUAAUUUUAGAGACAGACCAUAAGUCACUGAUUUGGUUAAACAGUGCAAAGAUGACCAACAGCCGGAUCAUGAGGUGGGCACUCAGUCUACAACCGUACAGGUUUGUAUGUCAUAGCAUCCGGGGUGUAGACAAUGUUGGAGCAGAUUUGUUGAGCAGGUGUGGCGACACUGGUAUGUAAAUAUCGGAUAUUGAGGACCUGGCAAAUAUAUGUGUAACGGGGUAAAAAUAUAUAACACUGUAUGUAUAUAUGUUUUAUUUUAUUUGCUACUUAUUUUAUAAUAUUUUAUUAAUGGGUUAUUUCGUUUGUUUUUAGGAUAUUCGUCGUAGAGAAUACCCUAUUAGACAACGCCCUAACCUUUCUUUCCGGUCAAAUUGGAGUUUAGCCAAUGAUAUUUUAUUCUGGUGUCAUGUGACAUUGGUCACGGCUAGUCCGUGCCACAUUCACAUUGAACAGCAAGCCAUCAACACACGACAUAAUUCUCAACUAUUUCUUGAUUAUUUUUUCAUCUUUUCUGCGACGGUUACACAGGAUGAGGAAUUGUCAUUAAUACUCGGCAACCAGUUCGGUCCAUAGCCCACAGCCAAGGACCUUUAUUUGACGGUUGCCAAAUAAACCGAAUCCUACCCAGCAUUGUUGUCUUUCUGAUUUGAGGGAUUUAACCCAAAUGCUACAAUGGAGCCGACGUAGGGACUCGAGAUGACGUCAUUUCCUGUGUUGGGACAAUCCGUGAACGGACAGACGGACAGUGCGGAGUGUUGUGUUGGACAUUGAACAGUACAAAAACUUGCUUAGAUGAGGAAUUGUCAUUAAUACUCGGCAACCAGUUCGGUCCAUAGCCCACAGCCAAGUUUUUAUGCUACGUGAGAUGUGCCCAGGUGUGGUGGAAGUUAUAACAAGAGGUGCGUCACGGGGUCAGGGCUGUCUUUUGUGAUGUUGAGGGGUCUCUUAGUUCGUAAGAGAUAAUGCAAUGGAAAACUGGAUGGAGAGCUGAGAGAGGUGGUGAAUUCGGUGUUUGGUGUAUCUAAGUAGAUACUAGGUGCUCCGUGGACUGAGAACUGGUUACUUGUGUAAUAUCAUGACUUUGCAACUUGUGUGAUUCACUGAUAGUUUGUUGGUGGACUAUUAUGCAAUAUUAUGUAAUAUUAUGUGACGACAUAAUAUUGUAAACUAUUGUUGUGAAUUUGGUGUGAAUGGGAUGCGGGAAUGAAUGAUUGUGUUAAAUAUGAAAUCGAUGGGUGGUAUGAAAGGGUAUGGUGUGUUAUAUUUGUGAAUAUUUAUGAGAUUAUUGUAAAUUAAAAUUAUUGUUUAUA